Molecule: ribosomal RNA, 301 nt
Filed under: uncultured bacterium
Lineage: Bacteria
Description: partial 16S ribosomal RNA
Rfam family: Bacterial small subunit ribosomal RNA
Source: RNAcentral
CAGUCGCCACGGUAAUACAGAGGGUGCGAGCGUUAAUCGGAUUUACUGGGCGUAAAGCGUGCGUAGGCGGCUUUUUAAGUCGGAUGUGAAAUCCCUGAGCUUAACUUAGGAAUUGCAUUCGAUACUGGGAAGCUAGAGUAUGGGAGAGGAUGGUAGAAUUCCAGGUGUAGCGGUGAAAUGCGUAGAGAUCUGGAGGAAUACCGAUGGCGAAGGCAGCCAUCUGGCCUAAUACUGACGCUGAGGUACGAAAGCAUGGGGAGCAAACAGGAUUAGAUACCCGCGUAGUCCCUGUCUAUUAUAA